UGUGCCUACGGGGCGCAGCAGUGAGGAAUAUUGGUCAAUGGGCGGGAGCCUGAACCAGCCAAGCCGCGUGAGGGAAGAAGGUACAGCAUAUCGUAAACCUCUUUUGUCAGGGAACAAAGGCGGGGACUAGUCCCCGGAUGAGGGUACCUGAAGAAAAAGCAUCGGCUAACUCCGUGCCAGCAGCCGCGGUAAUACGGAGGAUGCGAGCGUUAUCCGGAUUUAUUGGGUUUAAAGGGUGCGUAGGCGGUCCGUUAAGUCAGCGGUAAAAUUGCGGGGCUCAACCCCGUCGAGCCGUUGAAACUGGG
This 305-nucleotide ribosomal RNA is filed under the name uncultured bacterium. RNAcentral describes it as "bacterial SSU rRNA". It matches the Rfam family "Bacterial small subunit ribosomal RNA", at positions 333 to 637 of the family's 1533-position model. The record is from RNAcentral.